AACGAACGCUGGCGGCAUGCCUAACACAUGCAAGUCGAACGAGACCUUCGGGUCUAGUGGCGCACGGGUGCGUAACGCGUUGGAAUCUGCCCUUGGGUUCGGAAUAACAGUUGGAAACGACUGCUAAUACCGGAUGAUGACGUAAGUCCAAAGAUUUAUCGCCCAGGGAUGAGCCCGCGUAGGAUUAGCUAGUUGGUGGGGUAAAGGCCUACCAAGGCGACGAUCCUUAGCUGGUCUGAGAGGAUGAUCAGCCACACUGGGACUGAGACACGGCCGAGAAUGCUACGGGAGGCAGCAGUGGGGAAUAUUGGAAAAUGGGCGAAAGGCUGAUCCAGCAAUGCCGCGUGAGUGAUGAAGGACUUAGGGAUGUAAAGCACUUUUAACCGGGAUGAUAAUGACAGUACCGGGAGAAUAAGCCCCGGCUAACUCCGUG
Molecule: ribosomal RNA, 433 nt
Filed under: uncultured bacterium
Lineage: Bacteria
Description: partial 16S ribosomal RNA
Rfam family: Bacterial small subunit ribosomal RNA
Source: RNAcentral